This 1172-nucleotide ribosomal RNA is filed under the name Acasta cf. sulcata MCY-2020. RNAcentral's name for it is "SSU rRNA". It matches the Rfam family "Eukaryotic small subunit ribosomal RNA", at positions 450 to 1592 of the family's 1831-position model. The record is from RNAcentral. Lineage: Eukaryota; Metazoa; Arthropoda; Thecostraca; Balanomorpha; Balanidae.
CCCAGUUCAGGGAGGUAGUGACAAUAAAUACCUUACAGAGGUCUCGUUAACCGAGAUCUCUCAAACGGAAUGAGUACAACGUGAAUCCUUUAACGAGGAUCGACUGGAGGGCAAGCCUGGUGCCAGCAGCCGCGGUAAUUCCAGCUCCAGUAGCGUAUAUUAAAGCUGUUGCGGUUAAAAAGCUCGUAGUUGGAUAUCAGUGCGUGUCCGGUCCGGUAUGCCUGGCGGUGUCGCUCGCGCGUCACUGCUGGGCUCCCAAAUAUCGGCUGGCCGCAUUCAAUCGUGCCGGAUCCGUCGGCGGGCCGUUCUUCGGAGGGGCCUGUUGGCGGCCGGCGACGUUACCUUGAACAAAUUAGAGUGCUCAAAGCAGGCUCUGUAUGCCUGUAUACAUAUUCAUGGAAUUGGAGAAUACGUCCCUGGCUCGAUUUGGUUGGUUUUGAGAGUCGAAGGGAAAUGAUUAAUAGGGACUGACGGAGGCAUUCGUAUUGCGACGCGAGGGGUGAAAUCCUGUGACCGUCGCACGACGAACUACUGCGAAAGCAUUUGCCGAGAAUGUUUUCAUUAGUCAAGAACGAAAGUUAGAGGUUCGAAGGCGAUCAGAUACCGCCCUAGUUCUAACCGUAAACGAUGUCGACCAGCAAUCCGCAACGGUCACUACACGGACUGUGCGGGCAGCUCCCCCGGGGAAACCAGAGUUUUUGGACUCCGGGGGAAGUAUGGUUGCAAAGCUGAAACUUAAAGGAAUUGACGGAAGGGCACCACCAGGAGUGGAGCUUGCGGCUUAAUUUGACUCAACACGGGACAACUCACCAGGCCCGGACACCGUAAGGAUUGACAGACUGAUAGCUCUCUCUUGAUUCAGUGGGUGGUGGUGCAUGGCCGUUCUUAGUUGGUGGAGUGAUUUGUCUGGUUUAUUCCGAUAACGAACGAGACUCUGGCCUAUUAAACUUGACACUGUCAGUCUCUUGUGACUGCGGUGCGCUUCUUAGAGGGAUCAUCGGCGUCCCAGCCGAAGGAAAGGGAGCAAUAACAGGUCUGUGAUGCCCUUAGAUGUUCUGGGCUGCACGCGUGUUACACUGAAGUGGUCAGCGCGCCGUUCAACACCCCUCUCCGUGAGGAGCUUGGGCAAACGUUUGAACCCUUUUCGUGAUGGGAAUUGGGGGUUGCAAUUG